Molecule: ribosomal RNA, 506 nt
Filed under: uncultured bacterium
Lineage: Bacteria
Description: partial 16S ribosomal RNA
Rfam family: Bacterial small subunit ribosomal RNA
Source: RNAcentral
AGUGAACGCUGGCGGUAGGCCUAACACAUGCAAGUCGAACGGCAGCACAGAGGAGCUUGCUCCUUGGGUGGCGAGUGGCGGACGGGUGAGGAAUACAUCGGAAUCUACUCUGUCGUGGGGGAUAACGUAGGGAAACUUACGCUAAUACCGCAUACGACCUACGGGUGAAAGCAGGGGAUCUUCGGACCUUGCGCGAUUGAAUGAGCCGAUGUCGGAUUAGCUAGUUGGCGGGGUAAAGGCCCACCAAGGCGACGAUCCGUAGCUGGUCGGAGGGGAUGAGCAGCCACAAUGGAACUGAGACACGGUCCAGACUCCUACGGGAGGCAGCAGGGGGGAAUAUUGGACAAUGGGCGCAAGCCUGAUCCAGCCAUACCGCGUGGGUGAAGAAGGCCUUCGGGUUGUAAAGCCCUUUUGUUGGGAAAGAAAUCCAUCUGGUUAAUACCCGGGUGGGAUGACGGUACCCAAAGAAUAAGCACCGGCUAACUUCGUGCCAGCAGCCGCCGUAA